CUUUCUCUAUAUUGGGGAAAAUUUUCAAGAUGGGUUAUCUACCAACUGUUGUAACUCUGACUACAUUAGUAAAAGGGCUGUGUUUUAAUCAAAAUGUUGGCAAAGCUCUAGAUUUUUAUGAUGACAUAGUGGCGAAAGGAUUUAAGUUAGAUGAAGUCACCUAUGGAAUAUUAACAAAUGGGCUAUGUAAAAUGGGAAAAACUCGAUCUGCCAUUAAAUUAUUGCAAAUGAUGGAGAAAAAUUUAGUCAAGCCUAAUGUCGUUGUCUACAGCACAAUCAUUGAUGCCCUUUGUAAAGACGGACUUGUCAAUGAUGCACACAAAUUGUAUUUGGAAAUGAUUGAUCAUGGGGUAUCUCCAAAUGUUGUUACUUAUAAUAGUCUUGUCCAUGGCUUUUGUCGCGUGGGUCAGUGGCAACAAGCAAAUGAAAUACUUGGUGAGAUGAUACCUAAAGACAUCCAUCCGGAUAAUUAUACUUUCAGCAUUCUAGUUGAUGCCUUAUGUAAAGAUGGCAGGAUUAUUGAUGCUCAAGCUGUAUUUGCUAGGAUGGUGAAAAGUGAUCAGAGACCUGAUGUUGUUACGUAUAAUGCUUUAAUGGAUGGAUAUUGUUUGACCAAUAAUAUCAUUGAGGCUAGGGAAGUAUUUAACAGGAUGAUUGAAAAUGGUUUGGCACCUACCCUUUUUAGUUAUAAUAUUUUGAUCAAUGCAUCCUUUAAGAUGAAAAUGGUGGAUGAAGCCAUGGAUCUUUUUAAGGAAUUGCAUUCUAGAAAUUUGGUUCCUAAUGUUGUCACUUAUAACUGUGUUAUUGAUGGCUUGCUCAAAUCACAAAGAAUCUCUUGUGCACAGCAUAUUAUUUAUGAGAUGCAUGAGAGGGGUCUUCGUGCUGAUAUAAUCACGUAUAAUAUCUUAUUGGAUGCAUUUUGCAAAAAAGGACAUCUUGACAAGGCAGUUACAUUAUUUAAGCAAAUUGUCAAUCAAGGAUUUCAGCCUGACAAGAAGACCUACACUGUACUUAUUGAUGGUUUGUGUAAAGGUGGCAGAUUAAAUGUUGCUUGGGAGAUUUUUCAGUAUCUUUUGGCCAAAGGUUAUCAUCUAGAUGUCCAUGUAUAUACUGCUAUGAUUCAUGGAUUUUGUAAACAGGGUUUGCUUGAUGAAGCCAAGGCCUUGCUUGAUGGAAUGGAAGGAAACGGCUUACUCCCUAACUCUGUUACUUUUGAAAUCAUUAUUCGAUAUCUUCUUGAAAACAAUGAGAAUGACAAGGCAGGGAAACUUCUACAUAGAAUGAAGGAGAUAGAGGCCUCCUGAAGAAAUAAAGCAAGAGGAAAUUGCCUCGCAGCUGCUUCUUGUUUGCUUCUAGUUCAUUAUUAGAUGCCGCAGGUCUCUGUUACAUAUAGACAUCUAGUUUCAUCUGUACCUACCAAAUCCAGCGCUACCCAGCACUUCAUAUGUUAAGGUUUGCGGACCAGUGGCUCCAAAUCCGCCUUGGGAGAUAAAGAAAUGGGAGACACGCGCGUGGAUAGUAGUGUCUGCUCUUCUUGAGUAUGCUUCUGGAGCACCAGUUCAGUUAUCAUACAAGGAGCUUCAUCGUUCAAAUAAAGGGUUCAAAGAGAAGCUUGGUGAUUGUGGAUUUGGUGCUGUUUACAGUGAAAGAACUUGAGGGCAUUGAGCAAGGUGAGAAACAGUUCAGAAUGGAGGUUGCUACUAUAAUCCGCACUCAUCAUCUCAACUUGGUGAGGCUGAUUGGGUUUUGUUCUGAAGGAAAGCAUAGGCUUUUAGUUUACGAGUUCAUGAAAAUGGGUCUCUGGACCAAUUUCUUUUUGUCAAUGAACAUCAGUCUAAGAAAUUGUUGAAUUGGCAGUAUCGAUUCAGAAUUGCCCUGUGCACUGCGACGGCUAUCACUUACCUUCGUGAGGAGUGUAGAAACUACAUUGUCCACUGUGAUACAAAACCUGAAAAUAUUCUCUUAGGUAACAAUUAA
Molecule: RNA transcript, 1977 nt
Organism: Neltuma alba
Lineage: Eukaryota; Viridiplantae; Streptophyta; Magnoliopsida; Fabales; Fabaceae
Gene name: pentatricopeptide repeat-containing protein At1g62930, chloroplastic-like
Exons: 3
Source: RefSeq, a predicted model, not a curated record